RNAcentral lists this ribosomal RNA (460 nucleotides) under uncultured bacterium. Its description in RNAcentral is "partial 16S ribosomal RNA". It matches the Rfam family "Bacterial small subunit ribosomal RNA", at positions 338 to 795 of the family's 1533-position model. The record is from RNAcentral.
CCUACGGGUGGCAGCAGUGAGGAAUAUUGGUCAAUGGACGAGAGUCUGAACCAGCCAAGUAGCGUGAAGGAUGACUGCCCUAUGGGUUGUAAACUUCUUUUAUAUGGGAAUAAAGUGUUCCACGUGUGGGAUUUUGUAUGUACCAUAUGAAUAAGGAUCGGCUAACUCCGUGCCAGCAGCCGCGGUAAUACGGAGGAUCCGAGCGUUAUCCGGAUUUAUUGGGUUUAAAGGGAGCGUAGGUGGAUGGUUAAGUCAGUUGUGAAAGUUUGCGGCUCAACCGUAAAAUUGCAGUUGAAACUGGCAGUCUUGAGUACAGUAGAGGUGGGCGGAAUUCGUGGUGUAGCGGUGAAAUGCUUAGAUAUCACGAAGAACUCCGAUUGCGAAGGCAGUUCACUGGACUGCAACUGACACUGAGGCUCGAAAGUGUGGGUAUCAAACAGGAUUAGAUACCCCUGUAGUC